CUUUACUGUAGCUUGGUAUUGUGCCCGGGCUCUGAAUGCGCAGGAUAGGUGGGAGACUAUGAAGCAAUCCUUGUGGGGAUUGUGGAGUCAACAGUGAGAUACCACUCUGUCAGAGCUAGAAUUCUAACCUUCACCCGUUAUCCGGGGAAGGAACCGUAUCAGGCGGGCAGUUUGACUGGGGCGGUCGCCUCCUAAAUGGUAACGGAGGCGCGCAAAGGUGUUCUCAGGCUGGUUGGAAAUCAGCCGCAGAGUGUAAAGGCAGAAGAACGCUUGACUGCGAGAGUGACAACUCGAGCAGGGUGGAAACACGGCCUUAGUGAUCCGACGGCUUGUGCGUGGAAAUGCCGUCGCUCAACGGAUAAAAGUUA
RNAcentral lists this ribosomal RNA (368 nucleotides) under uncultured organism. RNAcentral describes it as "bacterial LSU rRNA". It matches the Rfam family "Bacterial large subunit ribosomal RNA", at positions 2099 to 2465 of the family's 2925-position model. The record is from RNAcentral.